UAUUGCCCAUUUAUUGAAGUCACUAUUCAUCGUGUCGAUCUUCAACACAAUAACUCCUCCAAAUUGCAGCGGCUCGACCAUGGCAAGCCCUCCAGUAGGUAUACUCUUUGCUCUUACAAUUUUUCCCCAACAAGACCAGCACCCUCCUGCAAAUAAGCACAAGAAUUUUAGGCAAAAAAGCAUCACAACAUAAUAAAAAAACCCAACCGACAUUCACUAGUAUUGUUCGAGCUUUCACUUAUACGGAUCUACUUUGAAGGAUCGGGUACCACACCCCCUUCACUGGUACAUAGCACUGUACCACUUCAAACCUUCUGGUAUAAACAAUUUCAAAAAUCCACUAUAAUUGAAAAAAUACUCAACACUAACCGAUCUGAAACAACAUUACUUUAUACCACACCCUUCUAAACGGUAUAGAUCUAUGUACCACAAAUCAGUAGCAGGUACCAAUAUAUACCAAAAUCAAAACCGAAACCCUAAAUCCAAGUAAAAACACAAAAUAAUCUCCAAAUCGGAACCGCAACCAUCAAAAAUAUAUUGAAAUUUUCAGUACCUGAUCUCCCUCUGUUUGCAUGUCCUCUGAUGGGUUAAUAUCCUUCUUCUUUUAGGCGGUCUACUUCCCUUGACUCCAGCAAACAACAAAGGUAUCUUCCUCCAGUGGUAAGGAGUCGUCGGUUUGGUCCCUGCCACCGGAAUUCUCCGAUUCAGUCUCUUCACCACAUAAGAAGAUGGUACUAGGAGUCGUGAUGACCGUCAGACGGUAGUCAGAUCAGGUGGUGGUCUUUUCAUCAGAGAAAGGAGGGGGAGAGCCAAAUAAGCUAGGAGCGGCGGAAGAGAUUCGAUUGGAGUGGCGGUUUCAGCGAGAAAGGGAUAGCGGUGGAUUUAGGUGAGAGAAAAGGAAACUGAAAUUGUAGAGUAAAU
Molecule: long non-coding RNA, 921 nt
Filed under: Linum usitatissimum (flax)
Lineage: Eukaryota; Viridiplantae; Streptophyta; Magnoliopsida; Malpighiales; Linaceae
Description: long non-coding RNA (LUSI_LNC005899)
Source: RNAcentral